GGUUAAGUUAACAAGGGCGCAUGGUGAAUGCCUUGGCACUAGGAGCCGAUGAAGGACGGGACUAACACCGAUAUGCUUCGGGGAGCUGUACGUAAGCUAUGAUCCGGAGAUUUCCGAAUGGGGCAACCCAGCAGUUUUAAUCAACUGUUACCACUAGAUGAAUUCAUAGUCUAGUUGGAGGUAAACGCUGUGAACUGAAACAUCUCAUUAGCAGCAGGAAUAUAAAGAAAUUUCGAUUCCCCAAGUAGCGGCGAGCGAACGGGGAACAGCCCAAACCAAAGUGCUUGCACUUUGGGGUUGUAGGACUGAACAUUUGAGUUACCAAAGAACUUGAUAGUCGAAGGAUUUGGGAAAAUCCGCCAUAGAUGGUGAUAGCCCAGUAGAUUAAAUCAAAUUCUCUCAGUUCAGGAUCCUGAGUACGGCGGAACACGUGAAAUUCCGUCGGAAUCCGGGAGGACCAUCUCCCAAGGCUAAAUACUACCUAGUGACCGAUAGUGAACCAGUACCGUGAGGGAAAGGUGAAAAGCACCCCGGGAGGGGAGUGAAAUAGUUCCUGAAACCAUGUGCCUACAAUAAGUCAGAGCGCGUUAAUGCGUGAUGGCGUGCCUUUGUAGAAUGAACCGGCGAGUUAUGAUCCCGUGCAAGGUUAAGACUAAAAAGUCGGAGCCGUAGCGAAAGCGAGUCUGAAAUGGGCGAUUUGAGUACGAGGUUAUAGACCCGAAACCAGGUGACCUAUCCAUGUCCAGGUUGAAGGUGCGGUAAAACGCACUGGAGGACCGAACCCGUGUAAGUUGAAAAUUGCUGGGAUGAGGUGUGGAUAGCGGUGAAAUUCCAAACGAACUUGGAGAUAGCUGGUUCUCUCCGAAAUAGCUUUAGGGCUAGCCUCGGAUUAAGGAUCAUGGAGGUAGAGCACUAUUUGGACUAGGGGCCCGUCUUGGGUUACUGAAUUCAGAUAAACUCCGAAUGCCAUUGAUUCAUGUCCGGGAGUCAGACGAUGAGUGAUAAGAUCCACCGUCGAAAGGGGAACAGCCCAGACCAUCAGUUAAGGUCCCUAAAUGUAUGCUAAGUGGAAAAGGAUGUGGAGUUGCAUAGACAACUAGGAUGUUGGCUCAGAAGCAGCCACCAUUUAAAGAGUGCGUAAUAGCUCACUAGUCGAGUGAUCCUGCGCCGAAAAUGUACCGGGGCUAAGCAUACUACCGAAACCAUGGAUGCGACCAUUAGGUCGCGUGAUAGGAGAGCGUUCUAAGGGCGGUGAAGCAAGAUCGUGAGGACUUGUGGAGCGCUUAGAAGUGAGAAUGCCGGUAUGAGUAGCGAAAGAUAGGUGAGAAUCCUAUCCACCGAAUGACUAAGGUUUCCUGGGGAAGGCUCGUCCUCCCAGGGUUAGUCGGGACCUAAGUCGAGGCCGAGAGGCGUAGACGAUGGAUAACAGGUUGAGAUUCCUGUACUAGUUAAGUGCGUUUGAGCAAUGGAGGGACGCAGGAGGCUAAGAUGUGCAUUCUGUUGGAUUAGAAUGUCCAAGCAGUAAGUCUUGUGGAGAGUCAAAUGCUUUUCACUUUAAGGACAAGCUGUGAUGGGGAGCGAAAUUUAGUAGCGAAGCGUCUGAUGUCACACUGCCGAGAAAAGCUUCUAGUGAGUACUUAACUACCCGUACCGCAAACCGACACAGGUAGUCGAGGAGAGAAUCCUAAGGUGAGCGAGUGAACUCUCGUUAAGGAACUCGGCAAAAUGACCCCGUAACUUCGGGAGAAGGGGUGCUGAUCGCAAGAUCAGCCGCAGUGAAUAGGCCCAGGCGACUGUUUAUCAAAAACACAGGUCUCUGCAAAAUCGUAAGAUGACGUAUAGGGGCUGACGCCUGCCCGGUGCUGGAAGGUUAAAAGGAUGGGUUAGCUUCGGCGAAGCUCAGAAUUGAAGCCCCAGUAAACGGCGGCCGUAACUAUAACGGUCCUAAGGUAGCGAAAUUCCUUGUCGGGUAAGUUCCGACCCGCACGAAAGGCGUAACGAUCUGGGCACUGUCUCAACGAGAGACUCGGUGAAAUUAUAUUGUCCGUGAAGAUGCGGACUACCCGCGACAGGACGGAAAGACCCCAUGGAGCUUUACUGUAGCUUGAUAUUGAGUGUUUGUACAGCUUGUACAGGAUAGGUAGGAGCCAUAGAAACCGGAACGCUAGUUUCGGUGGAGGCGUUGGUGGGAUACUACCCUCGCUGUAUGACCACUCUAACCCGCACCACUAAUCGUGGUGGGAGACAGUGUCAGGUGGGCAGUUUGACUGGGGCGGUCGCCUCCUAAAAAGUAACGGAGGCGCCCAAAGGUUCCCUCAGAAUGGUUGGAAAUCAUUCGCAGAGUGUAAAGGCACAAGGGAGCUUGACUGCGAGACAGACAGGUCGAGCAGGGACGAAAGUCGGGCUUAGUGAUCCGGUGGUACCGUAUGGAAGGGCCAUCGCUCAACGGAUAAAAGCUACCCUGGGGAUAACAGGCUUAUCUCCCCAAGAGUCCACAUCGACGGGGAGGUUUGGCACCUCGAUGUCGGCUCAUCGCAUCCUGGGGCUGUAGUCGGUCCCAAUGGGUUGGGCUGUUCGCCCAUUAAAGCGGUACGCGAGCUGGGUUCAGAACGUCGUGAGACAGUUCGGUCCCUAUCCGUCGCGGGCGUAGGAAAUUUGAGAGGACCUGUCCUUAGUACGAGAGGACCGGGAUGGACAUACCUCUGGUGUACCAGUUGUGCCGCCAGGCGCAUCGCUGGGUAGCUACGUAUGGAUGUGAUAAACGCUGAAAGCAUCUAAGUGUGAAACACACCUCGAGAUGAGAUUUCCCAUUCCUUUAUGGAAGUAAGACCCCUGAAAGAUGAUCAGGUAGAUAGGUUAGAAGUGGCAGUGCGGUGACGCAUGAAGCGGACUAAUACUAAUCGGUCGAGGACUUAACCAA
This 2920-nucleotide ribosomal RNA is filed under the name Lactiplantibacillus pentosus. Its description in RNAcentral is "23S ribosomal RNA". It matches the Rfam family "Bacterial large subunit ribosomal RNA". Lineage: Bacteria; Bacillati; Bacillota; Bacilli; Lactobacillales; Lactobacillaceae. The record is from RNAcentral.